GAACCUUAGCUGCCAUGGAGUUGCAAGUUUCAUGGAAAGGCAGAGCAGAGACGCUGGCGAGAACGAACCCACCUCCAUGAAAGUACAAGAUGACGGGAAUCUUGGUGUUUGGAGGAAGAAGACGAGGCCGGAAGAGGCGGAGAAAGGUGUUGUUGGCGGGGUUGAGAGGCACAUCUUUGGAAAAAGCCACGGCGGAGUCGGUGGCGGCGGUUUCAUCAGUAGCGGCUACUGAGGGAAAUGCGAUACUGCGAGUGACAGAGCCAUCUGGGUUAGGGACGAGGCCGACGGACUCAUAAGAGUCCAGGGAGGAUGGUGGUGGCGCAGAGUCUGCCAUGGCUGUUUAAGUGGUAAGAGUUUGUUUUGAAGAAGAUAUACAAAGGAGUCUGGUUGCGUAAUAUUAAUGGAGCUAUACGGAGAGGAGUGAGCAACUUCUUGUUCUGGGAUCGAUGGAUCGACCGAGAGUUGAGUUUCUAUCACAAUUCUUUAGGUUGAAUACUUGACCAGUUUUGGCGGCUAUUCGAUUAAAAUCAAUAAUCUUCCUGUGCAAGUAAUGACUUUGUUGCAUGUGAUCAAAUCUUAACUACACUUUUUUGAGCUUUGACCCAAAAUAGUGAGUUUUAAAAAAGAAUUCCAAAAAAUAAAGUUGUUUUGAAAAUAAUGCCCGAUCUAAUGCGUCUGUGUCAUAUAAGCUGCCACGUCAUAAAACCGUAGUUGAUGACUACAGUUUUAUUUUUCUAAAGUGGUUAGAAAUCGUAGUUACCAACUAUGGUUUUAACUUUAAGUUUAAAGCCGUAGUUGGUGACUACGACUUUGACUUUUUUUUUAAAUGGUCAAAGCCGUAGUCACCAAUUGCGGUUUUAACUUUAUAUAUAUUUAUAUAUAACUUUAAUUUUUUUAAUAAAAAUAUUAUAUUAUUUUGAUUUUAAAUAUACUUAUUUCAUUAUUUUAAAAAUAAUAAUAUACGAAAUUAAAUAAUUGAUAUUUUUAAUUUGAUAUAAAAAUAUAUUUUUAAAUUUUAUUAAAACAAUAGGCACUAUAUUUAAUAUAAAUAUAAUUAAUUAAUUAAAAUAAAAUAUAAUAAAUUAUAUUUAUUUAAAAUAAAUAAAUUAUAAAUGUCUAUUUAGAAAAAUAAAAAAGUAAUAUAAAUUAUUAUAUUAAUUAAUAAUUUUUUAUAUAUUAUAUAUAAGUGGUAUAUAAUACCUCACACACACACACAUAUAUAUAUAAAAGUUUAAUUUAAGUUUAAAAUUUAUCACAUUUUUAUUUAAAUAUAUAAAUAAAUUUUAUUAAAACAAUUGACAUUAUAUUUAAUAUAAAUAUAAUUAUUUAAUUAAAAUUAAAUAUAAAUAAAAUAUAAUAAAUUAUGUUUAUUUAAAAUAAAUAAAUUAUAAAUGCCUUAUUUGGAGAAAAAAAUAAUAUAAAUUAUUAUAUUAAUUAAUAAUUUUUUUAUAUAUUAUAUGUAAAUAGUAUAUAAUAUCACACACACACACACACAUAUAUAUAUAUAUAUAAAAGUUUAAUUUAAGUUUAAAAUUUAACAUAUUUAUUUAAAUAUAUAAAUAAAUUAUUAUCAUAUCAAUAUAAUAUUAUGAACUUAAAUUAAAAUAUGAUAAAUUUUAAACUUAAUUGAACUUAUAUACAUGUGACAUUAUAUACCACUUACAUAUAGUAUAUAAAAAAUUAUUAAUUAAUAUAAUAAUUUAUAUUAUUUGUUUUUUAAUAGGCUUUCAUAAUUUAUUAUAUUUUAUUUAUAUUUAAAUAUAAUUAACUAAAUAUAUUUAUAUUAAAUAUAGAGUAGAUUAUUUUAAUAAAAUUUAAAAAUAUAUUUAUAUCAAAUUAAAAAUAUCAAUUAUUUAAUUUCAUAUAUUAUUAUUUUUAAAAUAAUGAAAUAAGUAUAUUUAAAAUCAAAAUAAUAUAAUAUUUUUAUUAAAAAAAUUAAAGUUAUAUAUAAAUAUAUAUAAAGUUAAAACCGCAGUUGGUGACUACGGCUUUGACCAUUUUAAAAAAAAGUCAAAGCCGUAGUCACCAACUACGACUUUAAAAUUAAAGUUAAAACUGUAAUUGGUAACUACGGUUUCUAACCACUUUAGAAAAAUAAAACCGUAGUCACCAACUACGGUUUUAUGACGUGGCAGCUUAUGUGGCACAGACGCAUUAGAUCGGGCAUUAUUUUCAAAACAACUUUAUUUUUUGGAAUUUUUUUUUAAAACACACUAUUUUGGGUCAAAGCUCAAGAAUAAGUACAAAAGAAUCUUCAAGAUGGGUGUUUCUGAUAGUCAACAAACAUAGUUUCUAAUGGCUUGCAACUUUAAGGAAAAUUAUCGGAGUUUUGACCCAAAAUAAGAUAUUAAAAAAAAAAAAAUCAAAAAGUAAAUUGACUUUCAAAAUAAUGCCUGUUGUAGGAGUCUAGGUCAUAAAAUCGUAAUUACAAAUUAUGAUUUUAAAUUUUUUUUAAAUAAGUCAAAACUAUAGUUACUAACUACGGUUUUGAAUCAUUUUCAGUUCAUUUCUUUUUUCGUUUAGGUUUCUUACCUUUAGGUUUUUGCCUUCUUAUUUGUCCUUUUUGUUGUCACUCAUUGCAUUUGGUUGUCUUUGGUUCAUCAUUGGCUGAAAUUCAAUAUUUUCCAAAUUUUCAUAUUGUUCUAUCAUUGGUCAAGUAAGAUUUAUGAGUUUUUUUAGUUUACAUAUAUAUAUAUAUAUAUUUUUUUUGUAAAUCUGUUUGGCUUUCACAUAUUUUAGUUUAUUGUUGUGGAUGUGUUUGGUUUCUGAUUUUAUUUUCAUCUUGAGCUUGGUAGAGAUGUGUUUGGUUUUUUAUUUUAUUUUUAUUGUGAGUUUAGCAAAGAGAAAAAAGUUUUGUUUAGGAAAAGAAAACGGAUAUGGAAUAGAGGGCCACCGUGGAUUUUUUUUUUUUGUUAAAGAUACCAAAAAUGGAGGGGACCAUUGUUAAGAACUCCAAAAAUGUAGGGGACCACAAUUAAAAAUUCCAAAAAUGCAGGGGACUAUAGUUAAGAACUCCAAAUAUGUAGGGUACCACAGUUAAAAACUCCAAAAAUGAAGGAGACCAUUCUUAAGAACUCCAAAAAUGAAGGGGAUGAACAUUGAUUUUUGUUAUAGAAACAGAAAAAAUCAGAGUACUUUGCUUUUAUUUUUCUUCUUCCCACUUUUUAUCGAAUGCUGAGUUAAAGGCAAGCUUUAUAUACAAAUGAGCAUGUAUUUAUUUAUGUUUUCAAUUACCUUCAAUUAUGUUUCAAUCCAUUAUUCUACAAAUAACAAUCAAGAUAGUACUCAAAACUAAUCAACAACAUAUAAAAUUAUGAAACCAAUAACAAAGUAUGAUUGAUAAUGAAUGAUUGGAAUGAACAUUGAAAUAAAACCGGUUAAGCUAAAAAUUCUAUGAGUUGUAUGGAAAUCAUUGACUGUAAUACAAGAGUCACCUAAGCUCCAAGUUGAUGUUAUGAGAAUCAAACAAAAUACAAGGUAAAGUCCAAAGCCUAACAUUCUCUGAGGAAGAUAAAAAAAAAAUUAUAGGGGCUAGUCUAGGAUUUAAUGUUACUCAAAGGUGAUACCAUUCUUGACAUUAAAUGCUAAGUCUUAAUGGUGAAGCACUUAAGUUUCCUAUUCUAUCACUUUGAAGCAAUGUAGUAGUCUAUUUUCUUUUUCAUGAAACAAAUCUAGGUUUCUUUCCACCAUGAUAAUGCAUAAUACUAUAUCAAUAAGCAAACACACACGCAUAGAAUAUGUUGCAACUGACAUAAUAAUUUUUAUUAUACUUCAAAUCAUAAUCCUAUCUUAUCCUUCUAGACUAGCUUCUUUAUAAGAGCCCAUCUAGUUUGGCCAACAAACUAACCACUCUUUUGGUCUUCUAAUUCAUAAAGAACAACCUAGAACAUUUUCAUUAACAUUCCUUCCAUGCCUCUUUUCAAGGGGCCAAUGAAUAAGGCUUUAUCUUCAUAUUCCAUUAUAUCUAACUCAAUUGAAUUAUAUUUAUUACAUAGGCAUUGAACUAAUAGACAUAUGUUAUCUUGCUUUAAUAGUAAUUGAGAUUACUCAAGGCCAGAGGGUUUUUAAAGGAAGAUUAAGAAAUUGACAUCGUUUCAUAUAGAAAUAACACUAAAAGAUGAAAAAUGGGGCUAAUGACUUUUAAAUCUUCUUAACUAAGUACAAAGAAAUGAAAACAUUUAUAAAGUACUGGAAUUUCUAUUGUCAAUUCAAUUCCAUUCUUUUUCCCAAAUUCCUUCAUUCUGGGUAAAAUGUAAAAAUUCAAACUAAUCAAGUUUCUAAAGUUAAUCCAAUUAGGAGAUCUUGCAAUGGAUUUCAUAAUAGAAUAGGUGUUCCGAAAUUUUCUCUAUUAGAGAUUUAAAUCCCUAUUUGAUUCCAAUAUUGGUUAUUGUAGUUUUAUUAAGGUUUUCUCACUUAGAAAGUUUUACAAGAUUCUACAUAGUUGCAACACAACUUAAAAAGAUAUUAGAGUUUGAUUAAUUUAGUCUUUUGGUUUGAUUAUUUAAGCCCAACUUACUUAAUUUCUUCCUCCCCUUAAUUCUACAUCUUUUAGUCAUUCUUUUCCUCCUCAAUUAUUAUGCUAGUCAUAAGUGCAAUACAACUCAAACUAGAUGCCAUUUCUUCAUUUUCUAACCUAAAAACCAAACUUGUAUAACCUUAAAGCCCAUUUCUACCUUCUAGUAAUCAACCCAACAUCCAAAACCAAAUUCCAACAACUUAUUUUCUAGAAUUCCAAUAAUAUUUAUUUAUCUGAGAACCCAUAAAAAUUGGCUUCCGUCUUCAAAAACCUAAGCCAUAACCUCUCAUAGGCUUCCACCCACCAAAUUAAGUGAGUCUCUAGUACCUUCAGAAAUGUUGUCUCUACCAUGUGUCCAAUAGCUACUUUUGAUCUCAAAAAUAUAUUCACAUCUUCAUCUAUAUAUCUAAUAUAUACAACUUGGAAUGAAAAUUUCAAAUAUGACACAAUAUCCAUAGAUAUAACAUUGAGAUUCUCAAAAUUAUCAACACAUCAACACAUUCACUUUGCUUAGUCAUAGACACAAAUAAUUAUUAGUUAUUCGAUAUCUUUAAUGUUUCUUUAUGAAUUAAAAUUCAUAUUUGCAUUGAGGAAACAAUUUCUACUACUUUAUGGAAGAGACUUGAUAUUAUAAAAGGUUUAUAUCCAAUAUCAGAAAAUGAAAAUACUAUUACUAUUGCUUAAAUGGAGUGCAUGCUAUUGCCACUUCUUCUAUAUUGUAUUCUUGUGUAUCUUUAUCCUUAAAAAUGAUUUAUUAUCUAAAUAAUAUAAUUGAGAUAUCAAUUAUUUAUGCAUUUGAUGAGUUUCAACCCAUUUUUAAAACUUAAAUCUACAGGAGAAUUCAAACUAACAUGUUGCUAACAAAGUCGAUUUCAAGUAACCUAUUACUAAAAAAGCUAAAGAAAAGCACAAUGCUCUUAUAUUCUACAAUUGUUUUAAGUUAUUAAUUUGCUUCAAGCUAUUUCCCAAAACUCUCAUAGUUAGAAAAUCCCUAUAAAGGCAUCUCAUAGUGUAAAACCCGGAUCAAAGAAGCUAUCUUCUCCAUAUUUGCAACAUUUUUAGAUGGUCCAACUUGAAGAUCCUUUUAAUCAUUUUCUUCUUUUGGUGCUUGGUCCUAUGUUAUUGGUUCCCAAUACCAUCCAUAUCAGAUUUACUCCCACUCAGGCCAAAAAAAUAAUCUCUUCAGUAUAGAUAUGUUCAAAAGCAAGUAAUUUCUUGGGUUCAUAUACUUAUAGUGUAUGGCUUAAUAAUAAUGUGUAUUUAUGUCCCCUUAGGUAAUGAAAGUUUAACUCUAUACAAACUCCAAGUGGCAUCAAUUGGGUUAAGCAACAAUUUGCUUGACUUAUAUUUGGGUAUGGUAGAUGAAUGUCUUGGUGGAAUGAUGAUUUCUUCAUAUACCACAUGGUGCUUAAAGCAUUCAAACUCGAAUUGCUUAUUGUAGUUCCAAUAAACAUGCUUUUAUAAAAUAAAAAAAAAAGAAUAAGAUCACAUAUAUAAAGAAGGAAUAUACAAAGAAGGAUGAGAAAAUACUCAAAGGAGAGCUAAAAGUUUUCUUAAUUGCUUUAUAUAUGGUUUAAAGUAAAAAGAAUUAUUAAUAUUAAACAGAUUUAUUAAAUGUCUAUUUGUUUUCAUUUUUAAAAUGUUUAUAUAUAAACAUAUUAUUUAUUUUUAAUAUUAAAAUAAUGUUUGAAAUUUUUUUUAAAAGAUGAUUUUUUUUAAAAAGUUUGUUAAAUGUGUUUUUUAAAUUAAAAUUAAAAUUAAAUAGAUUUAUAAAAUGUUUAUUUGUUUUCAUUUUUAAUAUGUUUAUAUAUAAACAUAUUACUUCUUUUUAAUAUUGAAAUAAUGUUUAUAUAUAUAAAUGAUUUUUUUUCUAUAAUUGUGUAUUUGAUAUUUUAUUAAUAUAUUUUUUUAGUGGUGAGUUAUCUUUUAUUUGAUUUUUAGAUUUAAUUUUUUUUUCUACUUUUAGGUUUAAUCAAAUAUCAAGUGAUUUAUGAAUAACAACAUAAUUAUUUAAUUAAAUAUUAUUUAAUGGUUAAUAAUAUUUUAUUUUAUUUUAAUAUAUGAUAUUUUAUAUAAAAUAAAAUAAAAAUUAUAGGUGGAUUAUUUUUUAUUUAAUUUUGAGAUUCUUCUAAUUGUUUAGCCUUUUAGGUUUCACUAAACAUUUAUUGAUUUAUAGCCCACUAUCUAAGUUUUAAAUAAAAAUUUUAUCAAAUAUUUAUCUAUGAAUAUAUUUAUAUCAUAGAUAACUAUUUAAAUAAAAAAUUUAUUAUUAUGAAGUGAUUUAUAUUUUUCCCCAUAAUGUGUAAGAAGGUGUUUUAUUAUACAAUUGUGUAUUCACGUGAUAAAAGAUUAUACACAAUUUCUCUUGAACAUUCUUGUAUGUGUGUUUUUGUAAUUAUUUUAAUAAACAAGUAUGUUAAGUUCAAAACACAAAGACUUGGUAUUAUUUUCAUUGAUUAUUAAACCAUUUGAUAUUUUAUUUUUUGUAGGUAAAUCAUGUCUGAAUCUAUUGUUCCUAUGAUUUGUUUUUGUAAAGGAAAAAUGUUGAGGACAGAAACAAAUGUAAAAUAUGUUGGUGAUCAAGUUGUAAUUGUGUCUUUGGAUGUGCCUAUUAGUUCAACAUAUCUAUCUAUGAUAUACUCAAGAACUGGCAUUGACAAAAAAUAAUUUCAAUUAGUCCUCAACUGUAGGUAUCAUUUAAAAAAGGAAAAUAGGUUUCAACCUUGUCCAAUAUGGGAUGAUAAUACUUUAUACCAAAUGUUGAAAUUGGUUAACACAUUUGGAAUGGACGAAAUUGAAUUGUAUAUUGAACAAGUGCUAGUACAAGCACGAGUGAGAGGGCAAUUAUUGGGUAACUUGACACAUUUAUUACUUGGAGAAAAUGAUAAUGUUGAGGAAUUUGAGUAUGGUUGUGGACCUAGUAGCGCCCCAGUUGCAAUGACUUAUGAGUGUAGAGAAGAUGAAGAUGAAGAAGAAUGUGAAUCCCAAGAAGGUGAUGAUGAAAGUGAGGGAGCAGAAGAUGUUCAACAUGAUGGCAAUGAGACAUUCAAAUUUAUGGAUGAGAAAACAAUAAUGUUAAUGUUGUUUCAUCUUUCUUAGCUCUUCACGAAGCAAUGGAAAAUGAACAAGGAAGAUAUGUCUUCGUGGAUGGGGAAGGUUGUGAUGUGUCAAAUAACCCAGAUCCUGAGGACCCAAUGGAGUUUUCCCCUGUUCAGUAUCACUCGGCACCAUCUUUGCAAUUUGAAAAUGUAGAAAACAUUAGUAUUGUCGUUUCAAGUGACUAGACCCCAUGGGGGAACACUAAUAUUGGAAACUCAGGUGGAGAGUUCAUGGUUGGCCAAGUUUUUAAUUCAAAAGUAGAUUUAGAACAUGCUGCGAAGUUGUACUCUUUUAGUGCACAUGCACCAAGUGUAUGUUCUUGUUUUGUUAACUAAAAAGUUGUUUGUCUUAAGAUGCAAUAAGAUUGAACAAUCUCAAUGUCCAUAGAAGCUUCGUGUUAUGGUCAUAAAAGGUACAUCUUUAUUUGCAAUCAAUAAAUACAAUGGUAUGCACAAAUGUGUAAAUCAUUGCUUGAAUCGGGACCAUUGACAAUUAGAUUUCAACUUGAUUGCUGCUCAUAUCAAAGGAAUGAUUAAGGCACAAUUCACAUUGUCAGUGGUUGCUAUUCAAACAAGUAUUAUGGAGAUAUUCAAAUAUCAAAUAUCAUACAAGAAGACAUCUAAAGUGAAGCUUAAAGUACUUACAAACUUAUUUGGUGAUUUUUAUAAGUCAUAUGCAGAGCUGUCACAUUUUUUUCAUUGGCUUAGAGCAGGCAAAUUCAGGAUGUGUUGUAAUUUCAAAAACAUUUCCUAGUAUUAUGGAGAAUAUAGAGAUAUUUUAGUGAGUUUUUUUUUAACAUUUCAUCUAUCUAUUGAAGGUUUCAAGCAUUGUCGGCUCGUACUUAGUAUUGAAGGUACACGUUUGUAUGGGAAAUAUAAAAACACUUUAAUGAUUGCUAUGGUUUGUGGUGGAAAUAAUCAGUUAUUCUCAUUGGCUUUUGUCCUAACAGAGGGUGAGAAUAUUGAUAGUUGGGGAUGAUUUUUGGCAUGCAUUAGAACUAGAGUAACUCAUAGGAGGGGACUUUGUGUUAUAUCAUAUCGACAUUUAGGCAUUAUGGUUGAAAUGAACGAUGUUCAGCUUGGUUGGUCUGAGCCAUAUGCAUAUCAUAGGGUUUGUAUGUGUCAUCUUGCCAGCAAUUUUAUGACUCAAUUCAACGAUAAAAUAUUGAAAAAUCUGAUGUGCAAAGCAGUCUUAGCAACCAAGAUUGAAAAAUUCAAUAAACAUAUAAACACAAUUGGAAGGAUUAAUGCAACCACACAACAAUGGUUAGAAGCAAUCCCUUUUGAGAAAUGGGCUCUCUCUCAUGACGGAUGUUGAAGGUAGGACAUCAUGACUACAAACAUGUCAGAGGUGUUCAAUAGUGUGUUUAAAAGGGCUCGUAGCUUACCCUUAACUGCUUUGGUUCAAUUGAUAUUUUUUCGGCUAAAUAGUUACUUUGUUGUGAAAAGGGAACAAAGUGUUAAUUGACUUGCUUCGAAUGAGGAAUACACUCCAUAUGUCAAUGCUAAGAUUAAGGCAAACGUGGUUAAGGCGGGAUCUCAUGAGAUUGUUUUAUAUGAUCACAUCCAAGGAUGAUUCCAUGUGAAGACUAGUAGGGGUACUAAGAGUAGCUCAACUGGUGGUCAAACAUAUCGCUUCAACUUACAUGAGCAUGCAUGCAUGUAUGGUAAAACACUCAUAUAUGGAUUCCCAUGUAGCCAUAUUCUAGUAGCAUAUCAUUUUUGUUUAGUUGAUUUUAGACCACUUGUUGAACACUACUACAGUACACAAUUAUACUAUAAUACUUAGGCACCUUUGUUCCAUCCCAUUUUCAAUGUAUAUGAGUGACCUCCUUAUGAUGGUCCGAUUAUCGUGCCUUCUAAGUUGAUGAAACGUGCAUCAAGUGGAUGACCUAAAUCAAGUCAUUUACAUAAUGAAAUGGAUGUUAGAGAGGACAAGACUUCUAUUACAUGUAGGUAGUGUAAACAAAGUGGCCACAAUCGCCGCUCUUGUCAAAAUAGCAAUAGAGUUGAUUAUACCAUGUGAUGUAUGCAUGUAAUUUUCUUGGAUAUUGUGAUGUAAGCUACUAUGAUACUAUUUUUAUGCAAUUAUUGACUUUGGUUUGAUUAUAAAUAUUGAUGUUAUUUGUAUAAUCAGGUGAUUUGUAUUUGGGAUCAUUUUCAUAUUAUAAGGGAAACUCUAUCAAAAUUUUGAAAUUUUCUAUUAAAAAUGUUAACAAAAUGUUCCAUUGUAUUUGUAUCUUUAAUUUUAAUUUAGACUAGUAUGACUUGUUUAUUGGUCAUAAAUGAAUUGAUCUACUUAAAUUUAUUAAAUCGAUAUAUACUUAAUAUAGAGGAAACUCCAUAAAUUUUUAAAACUUUUCCAUUAUAAAUAUUUUUAUUUAAAAACAAUAAGUAUUAUUUAUUUAUCUUCACAAUUUUGUUACAGAUAUAGAGUAUAGAGGACAUAGUUUUGAUCCAGAUCCAUUAGAUACAUUUGUUUUGGUUCUACAGGAUAGACAUAAGUCUCAUUUAGUUGACUCUAGUCAGGUAUGUAUAUGAAAGCAUAUAAUAUAUUUUUAAAGAAUGAAAAAAAAAUUGAAGUUUAUUAUGUAAAUGAUUUAUUUGUAUUUUUAUAGCUUGUUUCAGUCUUAACUUAUCGACAACAUAUAUCUAGGUUUAUGUGAGAAUGGGAGAUGGAUCCUCGUCUUCAACCUUAUAUUAUUCGAUCUAGAUUGUAUGGUGUAUGUCGUAUUGGACACAUUACACUAGAUUGGGGACUAAUCACUAAUCUAGUUGAGAUAUGGCAUUCUGAGACACACACAUUUCACCUACCUAUUGGAGAUAUGACCAUUACUUUACAGGAUGUUGCUAUCAUAUUAGGACUUCGUAUUCAUGAGCAUCCCAUCACUGACACAUGUGACAUAGAUUGGUCAUUGCUAUGUUAUGAACUUUUAGGUGUGACUCUUCCUACAUAUGAGAUUAAAAGGUCAACGAUAUCAACACGAUGGCUAUGUCACCAAUUCUCUUAUCCAUUGAUUGAUUCAGAUAAUGCUACAUUAGAGCGGUAUGCAUGAGCUUUCAUAUUAGCACUACUAGGCUCAACACUAUUUAUAGACAAGAAGAGUACCCACAUCCAUAUGUGUUAUCCCCAUUGCUUAGAGACUUAACUCAGAUAUCUAUGCAUAGUUGGGGCAGUGCAAUAUUAGCACACCUAUAUAGGGUCAUUAAUGACAUAUGAGAUCAAUUUGACAAAGAAGCUACAAAAGGGUGAAGACAAAAAGAAGAAGAGCAUAACCCUCAAAGCUACAACCAAGGAAAAAGAAGAUGUUGAAGAAGAAAAGCCAAGUGAUGAAGAUGAUGAUUUAGCCCUCAUCACAAGAAAGCUUAACAAAUUCAUGAGAGGUGAAAGGUUUAGAGGAAGGAAAUUUACCUCUAGAAGAGAUCUUUCUAAAAAGGAAUCUUCAUCCCAUGGUGACAAGGAGAAAUGGGAAGAGAAAAGAGAUUUGAUAUGCUUUAAGUGCAAAAAACCGGGACACAUUAAAUAUGAUUGUCCUCUCUACAAGAGUGAAGCCAAGAUAAGAAUGAAGAAGGCAAUGAUGGCCACUUGGAGUGAAAGUGAAGAAUCCUCCGAAGAAGAAAAGAAGAAGGAAAUAGCAAACAUGUUCUUCAUGGCAAUAGAUGAUCUUGAUAAGGAAUCAAAGAAGGAUAAGUGAUUCUUGGAUAAUGGAUGCUCAAGACACAUGACCGGGGAUGAAUCCAAGUUUACUUUCUUUACAAAGAGAAAUGGAAGAUACGUUACCUUUGAAGACAAUUCAAAAGGAAGGAUCAUUGGCCAAGGCAACAUUGGUAAUGACACAUCUUCUCUUAUUGAAAGUGUUUUACUAGUGGAUGGUUUAAAACAUAAUAUUUUGAGCAUAAGUCAACUUUGUGACAAAGGUUUUAAAGUGAUUUUUGAAGCAUCUCAUUGCAUCAUCAAAGAUAUUCAAAAUGAUAAAACCAUCUUCAUGGGCCAUAGAUGUGAUAAUGUUUAUGUAAUAAAUAUUUCAAAAUAUGAUGGCCAUGAUAGAUGUUUUUCAAGCAUGCAUGAUCAAAGUUGGUUGUAGCAUAGGAGGUUGGGACAUGCUAACAUGGACCUCAUUUCCCAACUCAACAAAGAUAAACUUGUUAGAGGCCUUCUCAAAAUAAAUUUUCAAAAAGACAAAGUUUGUGAAGCUUGUCAAAUGGGAAAGCAAAUCAAAAACUCUUUUAAAAACAAAAAUUUCAUUUCAAAAACUAGGCCUCUUGAAUUGUUGCAUAUGGAUUUAUUUAGUCCCUCUAGAACACCAAGCCUUUGAGGAAAAUCUUAUGCUUUUGUUAUUGUGGAUGACUUCUCUAGAUACACUUGGGUCUUAUUUUUAAAUCAAAAGAAUGAAGCCUUUUAUGAGUUUUAAAAGUUUUGUAACAAGGUUCAAAAUGAAAAAGAUUUUACAAUUACUUGUAUAAGAAGUGAUCAUGGGAGAGAAUUUGAAAAUAUUGAUUUUGAAGACUAUUGCAAUGAGUAUGGUAUUAACCACAAUUUUUCGGCUCCUAGAACUCCUCAACAAAAUGGGGUAGUUGAAAGGAAAAAUAGAACUCUUCAAGAAAUGGCUAGAACCAUGCUAAAUGAAAACAAUUUACCAAAAUACUUCUAGGUCGAAGCGGUUAACACUUCUUGUUAUGUUUUAAAUAGAAUUUUAUUGAAGCCUAUUCUUAAGAAAACUCCCUAUGAGCUUUGGAAAAACAAGAAACCCAACAUUAGCUAUUUCAAAGUCUUUGGAUGCAAAUGCUUUAUAUUAAAUAUCAAAGAUAAUCUUGGAAAAUUUGAUGCAAAAUUGGAUGUUAAAAUUUUUCUUGGUUACUUAACUUCAAGUAAAGCCUUUAGAGUUUUUAACAAAAGAACCAUGGUUGUUAAGGAGUCAAUCCAUGUUAUUUUUUAUGAAUCUAACAAUUCUCUCCAAGAAAGAGAGAGCUUUGAUGAUGAUUUAGGUUUGGAGACUUCCAUGGGAAAAUUACAAAUUGAAGAUAGAAGGCAACAAGAAGAAAUUGUAGAGGAUCCCAAGAAAGAAGAAUCACCUUUGGCACUACCUCCUCCUCAACAAGUGCAAGGUGAAUCAAGCCAAGACCUCCCUAAAGAUUGGAAGUUUGUCAUCAACCACCCACAAGAUCAAAUUAUAGGUAAUCCAUCUAGUGGGGUAAGAACUAGAUCAUCUCUUAGAAAUAUUUGCAAUAAUCUUGCUUUUAUCUCUCAAAUUGAACCUAAAAAUAUAAAAGAUGCACUAGUUGAUGAAAAUUGGAUGAUUGCUAUACAAGAAGAGUUAAACCAAUUUGAAAGAAGUGAAGUAUGGGAAUUAGUGUCAAGACCUCAAAAUCAAAGUAUUAUUGGAACUAGAUGGGUCUUUAGAAAUAAAAUGGAUGAAAAUGACAUAAUUAUAAGGAAUAAAGCAAGAUUGGUAGCCCAAGGUUUUAAUCAAGAAGAAGGGAUAGAUUAUGAAGAAACAUUUGCUCCCGUAGCUAGAUUGGAAGCCAUUAGGAUGCUACUUGCCUUUGCAUGUUUUAAAGACUUUGUUUUAUAUCAAAUGGAUAUGAAAAGUGCUUUCUUAAAUGACUUUAUAAAUGAAGAGGUAUAUGUUGAACAACCACCCGGUUUUCAAAGUUUUAACUUUCCUAAUCAUGUUUUUAAACUUAAAAAACCACUUUAUGGUUUGAAACAAGCACCUAGAGCAUGGUAUGAAAGAUUGAGUAAAUUUCUUUUGAAAAAAGGUUUUAAAAUGGGAAAAAUUGACACAACUCUUUUCAUAAAAACCAAAGAAAAUGACAUGCUCUUAGUACAAAUAUAUGUUGACGAUAUCAUUUUUGAAGCUAUUAAUGUUUCUCUUUGUGAAUAAUUUUCUAAAUGCAUGCAUAGUGAGUUCAAAAUGAGCAUGAUGGGAGACCUUAACUUCUUCCUUAGACUUCAAAUCAAGCAACUAAAGGAAGGAACCUUCAUCAAUCAAGCAAAGUAUAUAAGAGAUCUUCUCAAAAGGUUCAAUAUGGAGGAAGCCAAAACAAUGAAGACUCCAAUGAGUUCAUCCAUCAAGCUUGACAUGGAUGAGAAAGGUAAGUCCGUCAACUCAACUAUGUAUAGAGGCAUGAUAGGUUUUUUGUUAGAUUUGACCACUAGUAGACCCGACAUCAUAUAUAAUGUAUGUUUGUGUGUUAGAUUUCAAUCUUGUCCUAAAGAAUCUCAUUUAAGUGUUGUAAAACGAAUUCUUAGAUAUUUAAAAGGGACAAUAGACAUAGGUCUAUGGUAUCCUAAGGGUGAUAACUUUGAAUUAAUUGGAUACUCGGAUACCAACUUUGCCGGUUGUAAAGUUGAGAGGAAAAGAACUAGUGACACUUGUCAUUUCCUAGGACACUCACUUGUUUCAUGGCAUAGUAAGAAGCAAAAUUCGGUAGCUUUGUUUACGGCGGAAGCCGAAUACAUAGCAGUUGGUUUAUGUUGUGCACAAAUCCUUUGGAUGAAACAAACACUUAGUGAUUUCAAUUUGAUUUUUAAGCAUGUUCCUAUUAAAUGUGAUAACACUAGUGCCAUAAACAUUUCAAAAAAUCCGAUGCAACACUCUAGGACUAAGCAAUAGAGAUUAGACUCCAUUUUCUUAGAGAUCGUGCACAAAAGGGUGACAUUACACUUGAAUUUGUAAGCAUAAAAGAUCAACUUGCCAAUAUUUUUACAAAACCCCUAAGUGAAGAGCAAUUUGUUGAUAUUAGAAGACAACUAGAGGUGAUUUCUUUAUAAUCAAAUGAUUGCUUGAUGAAUUCUUGAUUGAAUAUACCUUAUGAUUGCGUGAAUUUCAUAUCAUAAGCAUUAUAUAGAAAUAAUCUUAGGAAAGAGGUCAAAUUUUGACCAAAAAUCAAAAUUCUCGUGGCAUUGGAUAUAAAAAAUUGGGGAUUUCAAUUGAAAAGGGCAGAGGGAGGAUCAUGAGACAAGAAAAUGCAAAAAAUUGGACCGUUGACCGUUGACCAUUGACCAAGCGGUCGACCGGUUCCUCAACCGGUCGACCGAUUCGUCGAGGCUGGGAAUCUAAAGAGGCCCCCACGCGUUAUUUCUCUCACUGUUCUCUUUCACUCCUUGAAAACCCUUCACAUACCUGCUUCCAGAUAUCAUUUUGGGUUGGAUUUUGGACUGAUUGAAGGCUUUGGAGUUGAUUUUGGGACGUUUUGAGGCUAGGGUUUUGAUUUGAAACCCAGGGUUUCAGUUUUUGGGGGUGAUUUCUCUCUGACCACACUCCUCAAGCUUGGAUUCAGCCUCAUCUCCAUGCACCUAGGGCUUCGGGUUGGUGUUUGCUUUCUCUUAUUUGAUUUCAUUCUCCCUUUGGACUUCUCUUUCUCUCUAUCCCGUUCAUUGGAUGGCUCCAAGGCAAGAGACGGGGACCUCCAGGGCUCAGGGAAAGUGCCCUGUUGAGCCAUCUCAGCCUGAGCAGACGGAGGCUUGCCAAAAGGCGAGGUAUGACACGACCCUUUUCAGUUCCGUCGAAGACUAUCAGCGAUACAAACAAAAAUUCACCCAGAGGAAAGUCGUUUUAGGGAGAAGUAUCAAUUUCUCCCAACUUCAGCACUUCGGGUUUGAGAGACUUUUUUUUUCGGAUGGGAUGGUUGCCAGUUGUGACGAUUUUCGAGCCGAUCUUCCUGACUCUGGUGCGGGCUUUUUAUUCCCGGACGACCUAUGGGCUUGGAGGACCAGUCUUGUCCAUAGUUAGAGGAGUUGAGAUCAGAUUGAGCCCGGAGAGUAUCUGUUGCAUUCUCGACAUUCCUGCAGUUGGACUUUGAGUGUAUGAGGCCAAGGCGUGGCCCACUGUGUCGGGAUUCGAGCCUAGAGAGGUUGUUCAGAGGUUGUGUGGACUCACAGAUGCCUAGGGGAUGGGCAAACCAUCAGCACACAGCUUGACCGUGCCCAGCCGAGUCCUUCAUCACAUGAUUUGCUCCAUCUUAUUGCCACGAGGAGGACAUCGAGACGAGGUCUCCUACCUUGAGGCAUUCAUUGUGGACUCGAUUCUGACUGGACGAUGGAUUCACGUGGGAUAUCUGAUGAUGAUGCAUAUGAUAUCCUGCAUUGAGAGCAUGACAGGAGUACUCCCCUACGGCCGUUUCCUUAGCCGAGUAUUCAAGGAUGCUGGGGUCAACUUGAACAGAGAGACGGACUUCGAGGCCCCCACUAGCUAUGACACGUACGAUGAGCAGUCCUUGAGGCGAUUGAAGUUCGAGAAGGCACCUGAUGACUCUUGGAUUAGGAGAGCUGAGCAACAGGCCCGGGGUCAAGGACAGAUGCAUCCCGGAGCAGAGGAUGAGGCCAAGAUCAGAGAGAUGGAGGAUGGAUUAGACCCUUAGAGGGAUUUUGAGUAGAGAGGGCCCGAGCUUGACAUUUGACCUCCACCUCAGUCAGAGGGUAUUCAUGUUGAGGCUACUUUCUCAAAGCCUAUGAUGACUGCGUCGUCUUACACAACAGGACCAUCAUUUCAGCCAUUAUUUACUGAGCUUCCUCACACAGAGCUACCAUCUCAAGCACCUCACGCUCCUGAUCAUGCGCCUUGGAUGUAUGUCUCAGUUCAGAUCAGUCCCUUGGGACUCGUAUGGAGGAGCUUACUUUAGUUCAUGACACUCGUUUCUAUUUUAUGGAAGAGUACAUGGAUCAGUAUCAGACUAGUGUCACUUCUCGAUUUGAGCACUUCCAGUAGAGAUUUGAGCGCAUAAAGGAGCGUAUGGAUCAGCAGCAGGCUACAUUCGAGCAUCUCCAAUAAAGUAUUAAUCGCAUUGAGAGUCGCCAGGCGAGUCAACAUGAGGAGAUGAUGGCUUACCUCCGCUCUGUGUUUCCUCCUCCACCCCCUCAGCCUUAAGAUUAUCUAGAGUUCCCCCUCAGUUUUUUUUUUAUUUUUUAUGUUGCCAAUAGGGGAGAAAUAUAUAGGAUCUAGGAAACCCUCAUGCAUGUCAUUGUCAUCAUUGUCAUAUCUAUCUUGUUUAGCAUAUGUUUUCGUGUACAUGUGAGGUUACCAUAUAUAUAUGAUAUGAUAUUUUCAUGAUUCAUUGCUUCCUAUUCAAAAUUUCGUGUUUUACAUUGUUUCCUAUUAAAAAUUGUUUAAUUGAUCCAUGAUUGGUUUGAGGAGGAGAUUUUUUUCUCUCCUAGAUAACCAAGGUUUGUCAUCAUAAAAAAAGGGGAGAUUGUUAGCCCAAAGGUUCUCCUAAUCAGGUUUUGAUGAUAACAAACCAUGGUUAAGUGACUAAUUUGUUUAAUGGUUAAGAAUCUCAGGCAUAAACUCAAAAAUUCAUCAAAUGACCAAAUGGAUAUAAGAUUGAGACGCUUGGAAGACUUGUGAUCAUAGGAAACUAAUGAAAGAUGAAUGCAUGAGUGCACUUAGGUGUUUCACAUGUUUCAUGCAACAUAGAAAACUCAGUUUAUUAUUUAAAACUUCGAUUUCAUUAAAACCCGAGUUUUUAACUAAUGUACCUUAGGCAAAAUGUUUUAUAAUUGCUUAAUAAUUCACCUAAAAACCUUACCUAAGUGUUAGAAAAGAAAGGAAUUAAAAAAUAGGUUUUCAGGGCCAAAAAGGCUCAACCGGUCGAGGUUAUGGCCAACCGGCUCAACCGGUCGAGGUUAUGGCCAACCGGUUGAGGAAUCGGUCGACCAGUUGUACUCGUUCGGUCGAGAGAUGUCAAAACUUUCUCCCUCUCCCAAUGGUCUUCUCUUCCCGGUUGAGGUUCGGUCGAGACAACGGUAACCUGUCAAACAUUAAAUGCUCCAACGGCUAGUGAACUGGUCGACCCCUAGCUCGAUUAGACGAGGUUACCUUUUGCUGUUUUUGACUCCCGAGCUUAGACACCUAUAAAUUGAGAGCUCCACUUCAUUUAUUAACAAAAUAACACUUUCAUUCAAUAAUUUACCUACCCCUUCUUGAUCAAAAAACUCUCAUUUCUUUCAUAGUGUAUUAAAUCACGACUUGCAUAUUCUUUAGUGCACUCUUGUGUGUCAACCUAGCUUUGUCUUGUAUUUAAGCUAUUCUUAAGCUAGGUUGAGGAAUUCUUUCUUGUAAAAAUCGGAGUGUUAAAGCCUUCAACAGGUUCGAAUCUUGAAGAGAUUGUGUAAGAGCCCAUUGGAACCGAAAUCCAAGUGUAAGAAGAUUGAAAGCUUGGUUGAAGCGUCAAGUUAGUGGAACCCUCACUCAGUUAGGAGAUUGAGGAGAGUGGACGUAGGCAAGGAAGUGUCGAACAACUAUAAAACCCGAGUUUGAAUUUUCUAACUCUAUUUCUUUAUUUUGCUUAUAUUGUGUUCGAAUUUAUUGUGAUUGAAAAGAUUUUAAAAACCCAAUUCACCCCUCUCAGUGUUUUUCUUAUUUAAGCAUAACUUUUGUUUUCUCAAUUUUCAUCUAUUUAUCAAACAAUUAAACUAAAUAGUGAAUUGAUUGGAAAAACAAAGGUAUUUUCUUUCUAGAAUUCUAUAUUUUAAGAAGUGGAAGAACAAAUUCUAUUAGGUUACAUGGUAUUUUAAGUUUAAAAUUUCAAACCUUUCCAUUUCAUUUUGAAAGGAAAAAAAUGGAAAAAAAAAAUAUUUUUGUUGUAUUUAAGUCAUUUUCCAAUCAUAUAAUAUGACUUCACUUAAAUCAACGAAGAAAUAGUUUUUUUUUUUUUUUUUAAGAUAAUUGCACAUUUUUUUUUCUUGUAAAAUAGAAAAGAGAUCCCUAAUUUGUACAAAGUUUUAAUUGAAAACUUGUUGAACAUCGUUGUAUACUUAUUUAAUUAAUUUUUUUCCUCAUAAAAUAGAAGAUAAAAUCAAGGAUGAUAAUGUGACAAAUUCAAGACGGGUGUAGGGUUGCACCCAUCCCAACUCUGCCUUAUUUAUUGAAAAUAAUUUUCAUCCCUAUCUCAUUAAAAAAAUUAAACAGGUGGGGUGAGGAUGCAAAUUUCCCAUACCCGUCCCACCUUGUUUCAUUUAACUUUUUCUGAAGUUUUUUUUUAAUUAUUUAAAAAAAAUUAAUUACAUUAAAAUCAAUAUUUUAUAAAUAAUUAAAAUAUUUUAAUUUUUUUAUAACUUAUUGUUUUAUUAUUAUUAUUGAUUUUAUAACUUAUAUUAAAAAUAGGUAAAUUAAAAUUAAUUUUAUCUAUAAUUAGGGGUAAGACAAGACAAUACCUGAACCCACUCAAAACCUGUCUUAAGUUUUAAAAAUGAUCACAAAUUUAAGAGUAUGAAAAGUACCCGAAAAAACUUGACUUAUUGUCAUCCAUAAGAGUGAUCCUCUAUUUAUAGAAAAUUUUAACUUAAAAGCUUGUUAAAGCUUAUGAUAUGGUUAUUUUCUUCUCUUUCUCAUAAAAGGAUCCUCUAUUUUUUAGAAUUUUUUUUAACAAAUAGAUAAUUCUCUCUAACACUUAGAUUAUGUUUGGCUAAAAAAAAAAAUACUAAGAAUGCAAAUAAAAGGUAAGGAAAAAAAUACAAAAAAGAUGGAGCUAAAUAUUUUAAUGUGUAAUUUAAUUUUCUCUCCAUUAAUUAUUCCAUCAAUAAUCAAAUAAGAGAAUUUUUUUUUAAAAAAAAAUCUUAUUUAUUUAUUUAUUUAUUUAUUUUGGUUAUGUUUUUCUUAUUUAUUUAUUCCUUUCUUUCUUUUGGUUAUGUUGGGUUUAUAAAAGAUUUAAGAAAUAAAAUAAAAAGAAAACGUAAAAGAAAUGAAAAAAUUAAAAGAAAAUAAAAGAUAGAUUUAUUAGAGACAUGAAGAUUCACAAGAAUAUUAUGAGGGCUUUGGUUAGGUUGACAAGUCGGGAUCGAAAGCUCCUGUACACCCACCAACUCCAUAACGUUAGAAGUGCUUAAAGGCUAUGUAGUGAGGCCGUGGGUAGACAGAAAUCGAAUCAAUCAACAACUUUCUUUUUUGGCCAAGUGUUUUUUUCGAGAUCCAUCCAAAUUUAUGUAAGAUGGAUCCAUAUCAUUUUUCAACCAUGUGGACCACACCGGCAACUGUUUGUUUCCCAAGAAAAUGAUGUUUUUUUACCACUUGGUGAUAUAACUUCUUAUGCCAUUUUAAUAUGUUGUAUUAAAAUAGAGAUAAACAAAUAAUUAAUACACUCCAUGAACCUUCUGUCUGAAAAUUUAUUUGAUCUAAAAUGAAAAUCCAAUUUAUUAAUGCUUUGGGUCAAAAUCAUGGAGCGUGGAGUCAAUGAAAUCCUUGACAUCAUCAUCCAUGGCUUCAGCGUGUGAGGGAUCAGAGCACUCUAUGCCAUGGUGGCCGCCAUCUUUGAAUUUCGCCACCACGUGCACCCCACGCGCCUCCAUCAUCUCCACAACCCUCCUCUGUCUGUCAACCAGUGGAUCUCCACCGUACCCUAUCACCAGACACUUCUGUAGCCGUCCGAUCUUCUCCUGGUAGGACCCUCCCGCCAGUGGAUUACUGUACUCAUGAUCACGAUCAGCGCCGUCGGGCAAUGCAAGUGCCCAUAACAGAUCGUUGGCCGGCAACGGCAAGUUCCGACCCUCCGCCAGUCUCAGUUCCGAUUCGGUCCUCUCCACCCCACCGAAGUAGGGCUGAUUCAGUACCAGCCCUUGGAUCUUCAUCGCCCCAAGAUCAGCAUCAAGUGCACGUAGACCUGCGUGGAACACCAUGUUUGCUCCUGCACUGCCCCCCAUCAAAAAGCACUUGGAAAAAUCAGCGUACUCUCUCAACCACGGCUCACCGCCGUCGAUCUCCGCAGCCGCCUGGCUCCGGACCCACAUGAUGGCUUCGGCGGCGUCUUCGUAGGCAGCCGGGAGACGGUGCUCCGGCGCGAGACGGUACUCGAGGGACAGGACCAGAGCUGGAAGCUUAGCUGCCAUGGAGUUGCAAGUUUCAUGGAAAGGCGGAGUAGAGACGCUGGCGACAACGAACCCACCUCCAUGAAAGUACAAGAUGACUGGAAGCUUGGUGUUUGGAGGAAGAAGACGAGGCCGGAAGAGGCGGAGAAAGGUGUUGUUGGCGGGGUUGAGAGGCACAUCUUUGGAAAAAGCCACGGCGGAGUCGGAGGCGGCGGUUUCAUCAGUAGCAGCUAGGGAGAGAUGUGAGCUACGGCGAGUGAAAGAGCCAUCUGGGUUAGGGACGAGGCCGAUGGAGUUAUAAGCGUCCAUGGAGGAUGGUGGUGGCGCAGAGUCUGCUAUGGCUAUUUGAGUGGUGAGAGUUUGUUUUGAAGAAGAUAUACAAAGGAGUCUGGCUGGGUAGCCGUAUAGGAUAUCAAUGGAGCUAUGGUUGGUGUAUAAUUUAUAUAAGGUGAGGGGAUUUUUGGUAAGAGUACAGUAAUUUUAUAAAAUAAUUCUUAAAUUAUCCUAAAAAAAAUAAUUUCAUAUAUACGAUAGUUUUUAUAAGUGAUAUUUCUUUUCUUUAUCCAGUUGGAAACAGUAUUUUAAAAAGACGAUUUCCCAAAAAAAAAAAAAAAAAAGCAAUUAAAUAGAAAUAGUCUAUUUUAAAAAAUAAUAAUAAUUGAAAAUCGUAUCUUGAUGCAGCUAUUUCCCUGCUUUUUCGGUACCAAACUUACUCUUCGGUCUAAAAUCAUCUCAUUGUUUAACAUCAUAACAUCAGGACUUUUGUUCAAAGCUAAUCACACUCUAAAGACUCACUCCUUUCUUUCCAUUGUCUACACUUCAUACUUCUGUACUCUCUGUUUAGCUCAUUUCCUUCCAUCCACCCUCAAUCUUCUCCACACCAAUCUCAUCUUCUCAACCUCUAUAGUUUAUAUAUUCCAUUUUUCCACAUUUCUUGAUUUUCUCAAUCAAUAUAGUCUCAAAAAAAAAAAAAAAAUUCCACCAAUUUGCUAAUUUUUUUUGUGGAAUUUGUAAGACGAUUUCCAAUUAUAUAUAUUUUUUUAAAAUAGACAAUUUUCACUAAAUUUCUUUUUUUAGGAAAUCAUCUCUUUAAGAGACGAUUUCUAAUUUGCUUAAUUUUCUUUUUUAAAUCAUCUUUUCAACAAACAAUUUUUGAAUGGUAUAUAUACAUUUUGUAAAGAUGAUUUUCAACUUGAUAAAAAAGAUAAAUAUCAUUCCUUUUUAUUUGAUAAAAAUUAUCGUAGAUUUAAAAUUAUUUUUUUUAUUAUGGUAAUUUAAAAUUUAUUUUUUAAAAAUUCGAUAAUCUUAUAAAAAAUACUAAGUAGAUGAGUGAGCAAAUUCUAGUUUUGGGAUCGAUGGAUCGAUCGAGAGCAGAGUUUUUAUCAGAAUUCUUUAGGUUGAAUACUUGACCAGUUCUGGCGGCUAUUCGAUUGAAAUCAAUAAUCUUGCUGUGCAAGUAAUGAUUUUGUUGCAUGUUAUCAAAUCUUAAUUGUACUCUUUUGAAUAGUACAAAAAGAAUCUUCCAUAUGGGCGGCUUCUGACAGUCAACAAAUAUAGUUUCUAAUGGCUUGCAAAACUUAAGGGUAUGUUUGGGUCACGGAAAAUAAUAAGGAAAGAAAAAAAAUACAAAAAAAAAAUGAUUUUUUCAUAUUUGAUUGUCCUAUGAAAAAUAUCAAAGAAAAUAAAAUAUAAUUAAAACUAAUUAAAAACUUAUAUAUUUUUAAAUUAUUUAAUCUUUAUAUUGAUGAGUUAAAAUAAAUAAAAUGAGUUUGAAGUAACAAAAAGAAAUAAUUUAUCGAUUUUUAAUCUAUUUUUUAUUUUUCUUCAUUUUUUUCUUUCCUUCUACUUUUCUUUUGUAUUUUCUUUCCCUUGCAUUUUCCCUCAAAUUUUCUGGGAACCAAACAUAGCCUAAGGAAAAUUCUAGGGUACCUCAUUCGGUACCGUACCGAAAAGUUUUUAAGCCAUUGGAUGUCCAAGAUUACAUCUUGGCCAUCCAUUUUAAAUUUGAAAAAAAAUAAAAAAAAAAUCCACUUAACCGAUUAAGGGAAGAAGGAAGAACUGGUUGUGGCCUUCCACUCUCUUCUCCUUUAAUUUCAUCUUCCCCCAUUAUCAACAAUUAUGGGUUUAAAUAAAAUAAAUAUGAGAUAAAUAUUGAUACAAAAAUAGAAUUGAAAAAAAAAAUUGAAAUUGAUAUAAAAUUUGAAAACAUAUUUAUUAACAAAAAAAAUUCAUCAUAUAUUAUAGAUACAUUAUUUCAUUUUUAACAAAUUAUUAAUCAUUUUAAAUUCGACAUGAAAAUGAACAUAGUAAUAUUUCAAUAUAAAAUGAGUAUUUAUAUUAAAAUUCAACAUUUUGAUGAUUAUAUGUAAAGAUUAGGUAAUUAGAUUGCCCUAAUAUUUUUCACUCUCCAAAUUUUACAUUUUUGAAUUUAAGGUUUUUAAAUUAAAAUUACAAUAAAAUAAAUUAGUAAUAAUCUUUUGAGUUACUAAUGAUAGUAUUUUCGAAAAUAAAUUUGUAAUUUCAAUUUUUUUAAAAAAAAAAUUGACAUGAAAAAAUUGAUAAAGGUACCAAACAUGUAUUUAUCACAUUUUUUCGUACCAUUCUUAUAUUUUUUGUAUCCUAAAUUAUUUUUAUUUUUUAAAUUUCAGAUUUACUUUUUAACUUGAAAUGACAAUAAAAUAGUUUAAUAAUAUUUUUUUGAGUUAUUAUUGUUGAGAUAUUAGGAAUGCUUUCCUUGUAUCAUUAUUUCCUUAUAUCAUUUAGUGUUGAGAUAUUAGGAAUGUUUACAUAUUAGGAAAGUUAAGAUAUUAUGAAUAUUGAGAUAUUAUGAAUAUUGAGAUAUUAGGAAAGUUGAGAUAUUAGGAUAUUAGUUGUUAUUUCCUUAUAUUAUUCUUUCCUUGUAUCAUCCUUUCCCAUUCUUAGAAUGGUGAUUACCCUCUAUAUAUACUCUGUAUAUGAAUGAAAGAAAGUAUGAAUGAAAAACUACCAUUCAUCAAUUUGAAGAUGGUAUCAGAGUCAGGGAACUGAAAUCCUGGAUAUUUUGUUGUAAGGCCAACAAUCGCCCCUCCUUUGAGAAAGAAGAAAAAAAAAGAGUGAAAAAAGUACUAUUGUUUUUCAAUCUGAAGGUACUUUCAAUCUAGAAAUUAUUUUGACUGAAUCAAACUAUGACGUUUGGUCACAACUCGUGGAGAUGCAUAUUGCCGAACGGGAAAAACUUUCCUACAUCCAAGGUAAGACAAAUCUACCAAAAGAGUCAGAAGAUGGAUAUGAAAAAUGGUAUGCUGAGAAUCAAAAGGUGAAGAGAUGGUUGUUAAUGUCCAUGAGUCCAGAAAUUAUGAAGCGUUACUUACACUUACCCACCACUCAAGAAAUUUGGAGUGCAUUAUCAAAGGCCUUCUAUGAUGGAAGUGAUGAAUUACAAGUUUUCACUUUGAAUCAAAAAGCCUUCACUACCAAACAAAACGGCAGGUCUCUUUCUGAAUAUUAUGGAGAGUUAACUGAACUUUUUUGCGAAUUGGAUCAUCGGGAUAAGGUAGUUAUGAAAGACCCUGAAGACAUUGCAACAUACCGGAAAUCCAUUGAACGACAACGGGUGCACAUCUUUCUUGCUGGAUUGGGUGGUGACUUUGAGCAAGUUCGAGGAGAGAUUCUACGCAAAGAUCCUCUUCCCGAUUUGGAAGAAUGCUAUGCACUGAUUCGACGAGAGGCAAUACGUCACGCUAGUAUGAAAGCAGAAUCUGACAACCCUGACACCUCAGCUAUGGUAGUUCGACAACAAUCAACCCGAAAUUGGCAGGACCAAUCCAAGACCAACCAUCCUAAGACAAACCCUAAUAUUGAUAAGUCAACCUUCAAAUGCACUCACUGCAAUAAGACUAGUCAUACCAAGAGUCGUUGCUUUGAAAUUGUGGGAUAUCUAGACUGGUGGGAUCACAAUCGUGAUCAACGAAAGAAGGAUUCCAAGAAAACCUCGACUGCAGCUAUUGCCAAAAUAAAAACAGAGGCUAAUGUUGAUGAGAAAGCCUUUGCAUUGGUAGCCACUACAGAUCAUGGUGGUAAGUUUUUAAAUACUUCUACACCUGUUAUUAAUAAUGAAUGGAUAAUUGAUUCUGGUGCUACAGAUCAUAUGACUUUAGAUUCUAGACAGGUCUCACCCCUUAAACCUUCCUCACAAAAAUUUGUUUCCACAGCCAAUGGUAACACAACCCCAGUCAUUGGGGAAGGAUCCUUAACUCUUACUGAUACUUUGAAUUUGGAUUCUAUUUUAGUUGCUCCAUCCUUAAAUUACAAUCUUUUGUCAGUUUCUCAAAUCACUGCAGUUUUAUCUGAUAUUGUCAUUUUUUGGCCUGAAUUUUUUGUUUUUAAGGACAUCCAAACAAGACAGACGAUUAGUUUUGGUAUUAAGCGAGGAAAACUCUAUUAUUUGGACUUGUAGUCAAAGGAUUCAAAUAAGUUGCAACAAGCCUUGAUGGCAGAUGGAUCUGAGGGGGAGAAGAAAAAGUCUGAAAUUUGGUUGUGGCAUCGACGUCUGGGAUAUGCUUCCUUUGGUUAUUUAAAAAAAUUAUUUCCUAGUUUGUUUGCAAAGAGUGAUAUUUUUGGUUUCCGUUGUGAUAUUUGUGAAUUGGCUAAAAGCCAUCGUGCUUCCUUUCCAUUAAUUUUGAAUAAAAGUCCGUCUCCUUUUAUGGUUAUACAUUCUGAUGUUUGGGGCCCAUCCAAAGUCCCAACAUUGAGCGGUUCGCGUUGGUUUGUUACUUUUAUUGAUGAUUGUACCAGAAUGACAUGGUUAUGCUUGAUGAAAACCAAAGAUGAAGUGAACUUGUUGUUUCAAAAUUUUCAUAAAAUGAUUGAAACUCAAUACAAUGCAAAGGUUCAGGUUCUGCGUAGUGAUAAUGGUGGAGAAUGUCAAAGUUCUGAUCUUCAAAAGUAUUUGGAAGGACAUGACAUCAUUCAUCAAACUACUUGUUCCAAUACACCCCAGCAAAAUGGAGUCGUUGAACGAAAAAAUCGGCACUUGUUAGAGGUUGUUCGUGCUUCCUUGAUAGCAGCAAAAACACUGAUAUCUUAUUGGGGAGAAGCAAUCACAUCUGCCGUAUACUUGAUCAAUCGGGUAUCUUCUAGCUCAAUUAACUUUCAAACACCUCUCCAAGCUCUUAUUAAUGUCGUAGUUGCCCCAACCGUCCCAAAUCUACCUCCUCAUGUUUUUGGUUGCGUGGCAUUUGUGCAUCUACACAAGCACCAACGCACUAAGUUAACUUCUCAUGCAUUGCAAUGUGUGUUUGUUGGAUAUGCAUUGCACAAAAAGGGAUAUCGAUGUUACCAUCCUCCAACUCGACAAAUGUAUAUUACAAUGGAUGUGGUGUUUCAUGAAGAUUCGAUGUAUUUUUCAUCUGAGUCUGAACUUCAGGGGGAAUACCAUAAGGAAAUUCAGACUCUUGAUUAUGAUUAUCAUAUCUCUAAGGAAGAUGAAUCUGGACAAUCUGAACUAGUGAACCAGGAAGUGGGUGAGUUGGAUAUGAGUGGUUAACAAUUUGGGUCCGAAGAUGUCUUCACUGAAAUACCAAACCAAUCGUCGUCUGUUGAGGGUGUUCUUAAUUAGGAACCCGAUCCAUUCAUGAAACGGUUACCACAUCGUCAUAAUAGAGGUAUUCCUAAACCCACAUAUGAACCUGAUUUGUCUACCAAAGUCAAAUAUCCCAUGAGCAACUAUGUGUCUAACCAUCGUUUGUCUGAAUCAAAUAAGUCAUUUGUAAAUCAAUUAUCUACUGUAGUUAUUCCUAACAGUGUGCAGGAAGCCUUAGUUGAUCCAAGGUGGAAAGCAAGAUUGGUUAGCUGAUAUCCUCACCAAAGUUGUCUCAAGUCAAGUAUUCUCAAAAUUUUUUAGACAAGUUGGGCAUGUGUGACAUCUAUGCACCAACUUGAGGGGGAGUGUUGAGAUAUUAGGAAUGCUUUCCUUAUAUCAUUAUUUCCUUAUAUCAUUUAGUGUUGAUAUAUUAGGAAUGUUUAGAUAUUAGGAAAGUUAAGAUAUUAUGAAUAUUGAGAUAUUAGGAAUAUUGAGAUAGGAAUGUUUAGAUAUUAGGAAAGUUAAGAUAUUAUGAAUAUUGAGAUUUUAGGAAUAUUGAGAUAUUAGGAAAGUUGAGAUAUUAGGAUAUUAGUUGUUAUUUCCUUAUAUUAUUCUUUCCUUGUAUCAUCAUUUCCCAUUCUUAGAAUGGUGAUUACCCUCUAUAUAUACUCUGUAUAUGAACGAAAGAAAGUAUGAAUGAAAAACUACCAUUCAUCAAUUUGAAGAAUUAUUGAUAGAAUUGUUAAAAAAUAAGAAUGAAAAAAAAAUUUAAAUAUGGAAAUGAUGUAAAUUAUCUUUAAAAAAUUAGAAAAUUAAAACAGUAAAAAAAUUGGGAAGAAUACAAAGAAUGCAAGGAAAAGUAUGAAGAAUAUAAGAAAUCCUGACAUUUUUCGUAUCAUUCCUCAUGAUAAUAUUGUUUAUUGAUAGUAAUUAACCUUAGUGAUACUAAUUAAGCUUAGAAAUGAUGAAAAUUGUUUUAAAAAAAAAAUUAAAAUACUAAGUAAUUGUAAAGGGUAUGUGAGCAAAAUUUAAAAACUUUUUGAAUUUUUCAAUUUUUUGCCACUUAGAAAUACAAAUAAUAUUGUAUAUUGAUACUACUCAAGCUUAGAAAUGAUGAAAAUUAUUCUCAAAUUGUAGAAGGUACGAAGAAUUCCCUCACAUUCUUUAUACCUUUCGUCACAUUUUCUUUACUCUAAAAAAUUUUACAAUUUUUUUUUUAAAUUUUUCCACAUGGACGAAAUUUUACAAUUUUUCGAAUUUCCACUUAAAAAUACAAUAAUAUUGUUUAUUGAUACUAAUUAAACUUAGAAAUGAUGGAAAUUAUCCUUAAAAAAAUAAAUAUUAAAAUAUUAAAAUUUGGAGAGUACAAAGAAUGUGAGGAAGGGUACAAAGAAUGUGAGGAAUCUUCAUAUUCCUCAUACACUACUUCUUCACAUUAUUUGUACCUUUAGAAUUUUACGAUUUUUUGGAUUUUUUUUUAAAAAAAUCUACUUGAAAAUACAAUAAUAUUGUUUAUUUAUAUUAAUUAAGUUUAGAAAUUAUGGAAAUUAUUCUAUAAAAAAAUUAAAAUGUUAAAACACUAAGUAAUUAUAAAAUGUACAAAAAAUGUAAGGUUACGAAGAAUAUGAGUAAGGGUAUAAAGAAUGUGAAGAAGGACAUGAAGAAUAUGAGAAAUUCUUAUAUUCUUCGUACCCUUCCUUGCAUUCUUCGUACCUUGAAAAUUUGACAAAUUUUCAUAUUUUUUUAAUUUUGUUUUUACUUUGAAAUAUAAUAAUAUUGUUUAUUGAUACUAAUUAAGCUUAGAAAUGAUGGAAAUUAUACUUAAAAAAAUAAAAAAUUAAAAUGUUAAAAAAUUGGAGAGAGUAUAAAGAAUGUGAGGAAGGGUACGAAAAAUGGAAAUUCCUCACAUUCUUCAUACCCUUUAAAUUUUACAAUUUUUUUGAAUUUUUCAAAUUGUUUUUCAACUUGAUGGAAUUUUUCAUUAUUUUGUAGUAAAAGCAGUAAAAAUUAUUUUUUAUUGUCAAAUUGAAAUUUUAUAAUAAAUUCUUUUGAUAGAAUAAGUGCAAAUAAUUUUCUUGAAAAUAAAAAUUGAAUACAAAUAAAAUUGAAUAACUCAUUUGUUGGAAAUAAAUUGACUCUUUUGUAAAUAAAUAAAUUGAAAUCAUUAAUUUGAAAUUGUUUUUAAUAAACUCUUUUGAAAUUUCUUGAAAAAAUAAUUUUUGAAAUAUUUUUUAAUCAGAUCAAUAAAUUAAUUACAUAAUUCUCAUAUCAUUUAUCUUGUAUAUUCUUAUAAUUUGAUUUUAUCAUCAUUUUUGUAUAUAUUGAUUUGUGUCUUUAAUCUUGGUACCAUUGAUUAAUUAAUUAAUUGUUACAGUUCCCUCAAUUCAUUUAGUAAAGAUUGUAGAUAUACAAACUUUAAGGGAUACGACGGUUCAUCGUUGUAUUUUCCUGAUAAGUAAUCUGACCUCGAUAAGUAAAUUCAAAAUCGGUUUUUGUAAAUGUCUUUUCCAAAUAGAGUCACACAUGGUUUUUUUUUUUUUCUUAUUUUGUUUUCCCUUGAAAAAAAAAGACCAAAAUAAAUUACUACUCUAAGUCUUUUCUAAAAUUCAAAUUUUUACCAAUAAAAAGCAAGUCUCGUCGUUUGAGUGAGAACACACAUAAAAAAUGUGAAUCCAUAAUAUGAAUAUUGAAAUUUUAUAAUUUUAAGAAUCUUUUUCACUUAGAAAUUCAAUAAUAUUGUUUAUUAUACUAAUUAAGCUUUGAAAUGAUGAAGAUUAUCCUUAAAAAAAAAAAAAACAUUAAAAUAUUAAAAAAAUCUUUUUCCAAUUUUAAGAUUUUUUUUUCUUAAAAAUAUAACAAUAUUGGUUAUCCAUACUAAUUACCCAAAUGAUGAAAAAUAUCCUUCAAAAAUUUUUAAAAAUUGAUACACUAAAAAAUUGGAGGAGGCUCAAAUUAUGCUUAGAAUUAAUUGAAAUCAUGCAAUUUCUUUUUUAGCUUCAAUUAUCCAUUGUAUUGUUUUUCCUAGUUUCAAUAUUUCAUCCAAUCUUGUCCCAAAAAAAAAAAAAAAAAAAUCAAAUUUACAAUAAAAAUUUAAUAAUAUAAUUUUCAAUUACUAAUUAACAAUAAAUACUUAUUUUAAUUUAUUUUAAAAAAUUAUGACUCCAAAUAGUUAUGAUAUUCUUUAAAAAGGCUAAUUACACUCACAUUUUUCCUACCUUCUAAUUUUUAAAAUUUUAAAAUUUUGUUUGUUACUUCUAAGAGUCAUCCUUAGAAAUGAUGGAAGUUAGGCACAAAAAAAAUUGAAAUUAAAAACAUAGAAAAAUUUCCUAGCAUUUUUGUACUAUUCCCGCAUUUUGGUACUCUCCAAAAUUCUCAAAUUUUUUAUUUAAAGAUUUUUUUUCCACUUCCAAAAAAUGCUUUCAAUAUUUAAUCCAAUCUUCUCCACACACACACACACACAAAAUAAUAAUAAAAAUAAUAUUACAAUUUCUAAUUUAUAAUUGUAUUAUUACUUGUAAUUUAUUUAUUUUUUUUAUGGAGAAGAUUGGAUUAAAUAUUGAAGGCAUUUUUUGGAAGUGGAAAAAAAUUCUUAAAAUAAAAAAAUUGAGAAUUUUGGAGAGUAACAAAAAUGUGAGAAUGGUACAAAAAUGUGAGGAAAUUUUUCUGUAUUUUUAAUAUAGAACUGUUUUGUGCCUAGCUUCCAUCAUUUCUAAAAAUGAUUAGUAUGCCUAAGCAAUAUUGAUGCGAUUAGAAGUGGCAAAAAUUAAUUAAUUAAUUAAAAAAUUAGAAAAAAUAGAGGAUACAAAAAUGUGAGUGUGAUUAGUCUUUUUAAAUAAUAUUAUAACUAUUUGGAAUUGAUUUUUUUUAAAUAAAUUAAAAUAAAUCUUGAAAUAAGUAUUUAUUGUUAAUUACUAAUUGAAAAUUGUAUUAUUCAUUUUUUAUUGUAAAUUUGAUUUGAUUUUAUUAUUUUUUUUGGGGGGGGGGGGGGGGGGGGGGGGGGNNNNNNNNNNNNNNNNNNNNNNNNNNNNNNNNNNNNNNNNNNNNNNNNNNNNNNNNNNNNNNNNNNNNNNNNNNNNNNNNNNNNNNNNNNNNNNNNNNNNGGGGGGGGGGGGGGGGGGGGGGGGAAAGAUUAGAUGAAAUAUUGAAAGUAUGAAAACAAUGCAAUGGUUAAUUGAAGUGGAAAAAGAAAUUGCUUGAUUUCAAUUAAUUCUAAGUGUAAAUUGAGACCUUUCCAAAUUUUCAGUGUAUCAAUUUUUUAAUUUUUUUGGAGAAUAUUUUUCAUCAUUUCUAAGCUUAAUUAGUAUAAAUAAAUAUUAUUACAUUUUCAAGCAAAAAAAGUCUUAAAAUUGGAAAAAGAUUUUUUAAUGUUUUAAUUUUUAAAUUUUUUAAGGAUAAUUUUCAUCAUUUGUAAGCUUAAUUUCAAAGUGAAAAAGAUUCUUAAAAUUAUAAAUUUCAAUCCUCAUAUUCUUCGUAUAUUCUAGAAUUACUUAGUGUUUAAAGUUUUUAAUUUUUUAAGGAUAAUUUUCAUCAUUUUUAAGCUUAAUUAACAUGGAUAAACAAUAUUAUUGCAUUUCUAAAUGAAAAAAAAAAUUAAAAUUGGAAAAAAAAAAUGUAAAAAUUCAAGGGUAUGAAGAAUGUGGAAGAUGGUAAAAAUAAUGUGAGGAGGGUACAACUUUUAUAAUUUUUUAAAUUUUAAGAAUUUUUUUUCCACUUGGAAAUACAAUAAUAUUGUUUAUUGAUAUUAAUUAUGCCUAGAAAUGAUAGAAAUUAUUCUAAGAAAAAUUAAAAAUUAAAACACGAAAAAAUUUGAGAAGGUUCUCACAUUCUCUAUACCCUUCCUCAUAUUCUUCAUGCCCUUUCCAAUUUUGUUUUAAUUUUUUUUUAGGAUAAGUUACAUCAUUUUUAAGCUUAAUUAACAUCGAUAAACAAUAUUAUUGUAUUUCUAAGUGGAACAAAAAUUCAAAAAGAUUCAAAAAAUUGUAAAAUUCCCAGGGUACGAAGAAUGUGAGGAAGGGUAUGAAGAAUGUGAGGAUUUCUCACAUUUCUAUACCAUUUCAAAUUUUUUAGUGUUUUAAUUUUUAAAUUUUAAUUUUUUUAAAAAAAUAAUUUUCAUCAUUUCUAAGCUUAAUUAGUAUUGAUAAACAAUAUUAUUGUAUUUUUAAGUAAAAAAAAAAUUCGAAAAAUUUGAAAAAUUGUAAAAUUUCGAGGGUACAAUCCUUAUAUUCUUCAUACCAUCUCCAAUUUUUUAAUGUUUUAAUUUUCAAUUUUUUUAAGGAUAAUUUACAUCAUUUCUAAACUUAAUUAAUAUCAUUAAACAAUAUCAUUGUAUUUCUAAGUGGACAAAAAUUAGAAAAAAUGUAAAAUUUCGAUAGUAUAAGAAAUGUGAGGAAGGGUACGAAGAAUGCAAAGAUUUUUCAUAUUCUUCGUACCAUUUGUCACAUUCUUUGUACCAUCUCAAAAUUUUUAGUAUUUAAAAUUUUAAAAUUUUUAAAGAUAAUUUCCAUAAUUUUUAAACUUAAUUAGUAUUAAUAAAUAAUAUUAUUGUAUUUCUAAGUGGAAAAAAUUUCAAAAAAUUGUAAAAUUUCGAGGGUAUAAACAAUGUGAGGAUUAAUUAGUAAAUCAUUUUCUAUACAUUUAUUAACGUUGAAUAUUUCUUGAUUGACUUCUUCCUAUGCCCAAGGUUGUUUGUCUUAAUUUGAUGGUCAAUCUUUGCCAUCAAAUUAAAAACACAUUUCAGUAGAAUUGUCUAAUAUCACUUUAAGUGGAAAAAAAGAACAAAAAUGAAUUCAUGAAUGAUUUAUCUUUUCUAAUAAUAUGUUUCGAGGUUGUUUAGAUAAUUGAGAUCUUAUUUUAGGUUAUAUUUGAGUUAAGAACAUAGUAUUAUACCUAUUUUAUUACACUAUAGAGUUCAAAUUGAAGUAAGUGUUGCGAUUUGAUUGAGCGUUUUUAUAAUUUAUAGAUUUCACAAGAUGGGUAAGGAAAAAAAUAAUCAAAUCAUGAAAAAUGUGACUAAGAUAUAAAAAAGUUAUUGAAGUAUAAAUAAUAGAAAUAAAAAAUCAAUCAUGAUUUUAGAAGGAGUUGCUUAGGUAAUUGAAAUAAUUGAGAUAUUAUCAUAAGUUUGAUUCCAUUAAUUUUAGCAUUUUAUGCUACAUAUUUUUGUGUACAUGAUUUCACAUCAUAUACUAGAGUAUGGUAUCAUAUGGUUAUAUGGGCCCUGGUCCGUCCAUGGGCCUAGGUGGCAAGGCCCAGCAAGUUGUCACCUUUUCCUGCUAUGUCACAAGGAACAAGCUCAUCUACAUUCCAUGGCAUGUCCUCCAAAAGUAAAGAACAAGAAAAAUAGUGCCCAAAAUCAAUUUCUAACCAUUUGAAAAAUCUUAAGGUGUGGGUACGAUCUUUUAUACAUUCUAAUUAGAAUUUUCAAGUUAGUCUUAAAGGUAGGAUGAGAACCGUAUAUACUUGAAUCAACGACCAAUUAAGAGUUAAUUAGAUUUGAUUUCAAUUAUGUUAAUGUAAGUUCGAUGUUUGAUUAAGGAUGCUAACCAUAUGUUUUUUAAUCUAGGGUGUAGGCCAACCACAACUAGGCUUCAUUUUGAUUUUUUGUCAUGUUGAGUUUGGUCUUGGUCUCGAGAAAAAUACGAAGGGUAUUUGUUUCUUCACUUAGAAGACUACACUUCAAAUCAAUGAGAAAUACUUAUAGUUUGUUGAAGUAAUUGUACUUUUAUUUUCUUCUUUUUCUCGAAAAAUGGAAAUGUGAUCCUCUAUUUACAUAAAAUUUCAACUUAAAGCUUAUUGAAGAUCAUUGCAUGCUUAUUUUCUUUUCUUUCUUAUAACCAGGUGGAUUUGGGACAGGAUGUACCCAUUUCAACCUUAUCCCGUUUAUUGAAAAUAAUUUUCAUCCUCAUCCUAUUAAAAAAAUUAAAUAAGACUUGAUGAGGUGGGAUGGGAAUGCAAAUUUUUCAUACCCAUCCCACCCUAUCCUAUUUAACUUUGUUUUGAAAUUUUUUAAAAUUUUUUUAAUUUUUUUAAUUACAUUAAAAUAAAUAUAUUUUAUAAACAAUUAAAAUAUUAUAAUUAACUUAUUUUAUUAAAAAAUAUUUAUUAUUAUUACUAUUAUGAUUAUUAUUAUUAUAUUAAAAAUAUAUUUAAAAAAAUUAAUUUUAUAUAUAAUUAGGGUGGAGCGGAGCAAGACAAGACAAUGCUCGAACCCACCCUGAACAUGUCAUCUCUAAGAUAGAUCCUCUAUUUAUAGAAAAUUUUAACUUAAAAAGCUUGUUGAAGCUUAUUUUAUACUUAUUUUCUUCUCUUUCUCAUAAAAAGAUCCUCUAUUGUUUAGAAAAAAAAUUCAAUAAAUAGAUUAUUCACUCUCACACUUGGUGUAUGUUUGGCUAAAAAAAAAUACUACGAAAAAUGUUAUUCCUAAGGUGGUUUGGUUACUGUAAAUAAUGGGUGAGGAAAAAAAUACCGAAAAUAUGGAGCUAAAUAUUUUAAUGUGUAAUUUAGUUUUCUCUUCAUAAAAAAAAUAAUAAUAAUAAAGAGAAAAAUUAGAAGAAAUAAAAAUAAAAAAUAGAUUUAUUAAAGACUUGAAUAAUAACAUGAAGAUUCACAAGAAUAUUACAAAUGCUUUGGUUAGGUUGACAAGUCCGGAUGGAAAGCCCCUCAAUGUACUCCCAACUCAGAUCCUUCAAAUCCUCUCUUGUAUUACUUGUCUAACGAAGAACUUCAAAACGUUAAAAAGUGCUUAAAUGCUAUGUAAUGAGGUAAUGGAUUGACGAAACCAUGUGGAAAACACCAUCAGCCACUGUGAGAGAUACCCAUCGUGAUUCCUCUCCCCUUCAAAGUAUAGGUGUGUUUGUUUCCCAAGAAAAUGAUGUUAAACAUAUAAUUAAUACAUUCCACGACCCUUCUGUCUGAAAAUUUAUUUAAUCUAAACUGAUGUUUGGUUCCCGUGAAAUCCAAUUUAUUAAUGUUUUCGGUCAACACAUCACAUGGUUGAUUUUGAAGCGGUGGAGUAAAUGAAAUUCUUGACAUCAUUAUACAAAGCUUCAGCCUGUGAGGGAUCAAAGAUCUCCACGCCAUGGUGACCGCCAUCAUUGAAUUUAGCCACCACGUGCACCCCACGCGCCUCCAUCAUCUCCGCAAACCUCCUCUGUCUGUCAACCAGUGGAUCCCCACCGUACCCUCUCACCAGACACUUCUGCAGCCGUCCGAUCUUCUCCUGGUGGGACUGGGACCCUCCCGCCAUUGGAUUACUAUACUCAUGAUCACGAUCAGCGCCGUUGGGCAAUGCAAGUGCCCAUAGCAGAUCGUUCGCCGGCAACGGCACGAUCCGAUCGUCCGCCAGUCUCAGUUCCGAUUCGGUCCUCUCCACCCCACCGAAGUAGGGCUGAUUCAGUACCAGCCCUUGGAUCUUCAUCGCCCCAAGAUCAGCAUCAAGUGCACGCACACCUGCGUGGAACACGAUGUUUGCUCCUGCACUGCCCCCCAUCAAAAAGCACUUGGAAAAAUCAGCGUACUCUCUCAGCCACGGCUCACCACCGUCGAUCUCCGCAGCCGCCUGGCUCCGGACCCACAUGAUGGCUUCGAAGGCGUCCUCGUAGGCAGCCGGGAGACGGUGCUCCGGCGCGAGACGGUACUCGAGGGACAGGACCAGAGCUGGAAGCUUAGCUGCCAUGGAGUUGCAAGAUUUGUGGAAAGGCAGAUUAGAGACGCUGAAGAGAACGAACCCACCUCCAUGAAAGUACAAGAUGACGGGAAGCUUGGUGUUUGGAGGAAGAAGACUAGGCCGGUAGAUGCGGAGAAAGGUGUUGUUGGCGGGGUUGAGGGGCACGUCUUUGGAAAAAGCCACAGCGGUGUCGGUGGCGGCGGUGGUUUCAUCAGUAGCGGGUACAGAGGGAAAUGGGCUACUGCGAGUGAGAGAGCCAUCUGGGUUAGGGACGAGGCCGAGGGACUUAUAAGCGUCCAUGGAAGAUG
RNAcentral lists this long non-coding RNA (34946 nucleotides) under Vitis vinifera (wine grape). Its description in RNAcentral is "long non-coding RNA (VVIN_LNC005178)". The record is from RNAcentral. Lineage: Eukaryota; Viridiplantae; Streptophyta; Magnoliopsida; Vitales; Vitaceae.